AACAGUAUUAGCCUCCUCCGCAGGCAUCUCAUGUUUCACGUACUUUAUUCGCCUGCAACAAGAUUUUGCCCGCCAAUCUAAAGGCGAUGCCUGCGGAGGAGGCUAGAACAGU
Molecule: microRNA precursor, 112 nt
Filed under: Paramuricea clavata
Lineage: Eukaryota; Metazoa; Cnidaria; Anthozoa; Malacalcyonacea; Plexauridae
Source: RNAcentral